AACGCAUAUUGCACUCUCUGGUAAUCCGGGGAGUAUGCCUGUUUGAGGGUCAGUAAAUAAUAAUUAUCAUAAUCUUUUGAUUGUGGAAUUGGGCUUUUAUUUCAUUUUAAUGAUUUAUGGCCUUAAAUUUAUGUUACCGCUUGUUUAAUGAAAUUCGACCGAAUGGAGCAAUUAAACAUUCUCUCGUUAGGCGGAUUCCAUCAAGCAAUUACGAUUUUUGGCCGUCGAAGCACUUUUUUUUUAGAAGUGCUUGGUCGAGAUUGUAAGAUACAUUUAACAAUGACCUCAAAUCAGGCAAGAAUACCCGCUGAACUUAA
Molecule: unclassified non-coding RNA, 317 nt
Filed under: uncultured Entrophospora
Lineage: Eukaryota; Fungi; Glomeromycota; Glomeromycetes; Entrophosporales; Entrophosporaceae
Description: uncultured Claroideoglomus sequence contains ITS2
Source: RNAcentral